GGCUCAGGACGAACGCUGGCGGCGUGCCUAAUACAUGCAAGUCGAGCGGGGUUGWUUAGAAGCUUGCUUCUAAWCAACCUAGCGGCGGACGGGUGAGUAACACGUAGGCAACCUGCCCACAAGACAGGGAUAACUACCGGAAACGGUAGCUAAUACCCGAUACAUCCUUUUCCUGCAUGGGAGAAGGAGGAAAGACGGAGCAAUCUGUCACUUGUGGAUGGGCCUGCGGCGCAUUAGCUAGUUGGUGGGGUAAAGGCCUACCAAGGCGACGAUGCGUAGCCGACCUGAGAGGGUGAUCGGCCACACUGGGACUGAGACACGGCCCAGACUCCUACGGGAGGCAGCAGUAGGGAAUCUUCCGCAAUGGGCGAAAGCCUGACGGAGCAACGCCGCGUGAGUGAUGAAGGUUUUCGGAUCGUAAAGCUCUGUUGCCAGGGAAGAACGUCUUGUAGAGUAACUGCUACAAGAGUGACGGU
Molecule: ribosomal RNA, 476 nt
Filed under: Paenibacillus sp. R-45623
Lineage: Bacteria; Bacillati; Bacillota; Bacilli; Caryophanales; Paenibacillaceae
Description: bacterial SSU rRNA
Rfam family: Bacterial small subunit ribosomal RNA
Source: RNAcentral